AAUCGAUAUAUUAAUGAACGAAAAUAAAUUUCUUAUUUAACUACUUCAACAAAAUAGUGUCCGAAUUUAUAGAAUUUAUUAGAUCACCAAACGGAACUUUUGAUUUGUCGGCUAUGUUUCCACACGGACACUAUAAGGACCUGCGCAUUAUGGCGGAUUUUGGUGCUUGAGUGAGACUCUGUGCAUCAGUAAACAUUUAGUGUUGAAAAGUAUUUUAGUUAGACUUUAUUUUUAUAUAAAUAUCUGAUAAAGUGAAGACGUGGUGAUUUCCGGAACUUUUCUUUAUGAAUUUCCUCCCAGAGCUGUUGUUUGGAUCAAUACCACCACCACCCUCAUAAAUCUUCCUUCUGAGGAUACUCCACACCUUCUCAAUAGGAUUGAGCCCAAAUCAUCACUCCACCUCCACCUCCUUGCUGACGUCACAGUCUUGGUGGAACACGGUGUCCAUUCAGCAGCCGUUCAGAACAUCCAUCCAUCUGGAACAUCCAGUGAAGCACGGCGUUCUCCAGCAAACACAGCUGUUUGAAAAUGAGUCUUGAUGUGUUAAAAUAGCAGACGAUUUGGUUACGCAUGACUGAAAUACAGAUACAAACUGCCAGCCUAUGAAGGAUCCUGCAUCCAGAGGUUCUCACGACUCCAGAAACAGCAGCAGCUUCAGAUAUCUGCUGCUCAGUAGUGGCUUUUUUUAUAGACGCCUUUUAAUACUAUUCAUUUCUCUGACAGAAAUCUUUCAGUGAGCUUUUAUCUGAUCGCAUUCUUCUGUGAAUCAGAAGAAAACACGUUUAUUUUGACUGAAAUGUUACAUAAUAAUUUGGAACACAGUGUGUGUGUGUGUGUGUGUGUGUGUGUGUGUGUGU
Long non-coding RNA from Silurus meridionalis, 857 nucleotides. RefSeq lists it as uncharacterized. The record is from RefSeq and is a predicted model, not a curated record. The transcript is spliced from 3 exons. Lineage: Eukaryota; Metazoa; Chordata; Actinopteri; Siluriformes; Siluridae.